Fukomys damarensis (Damara mole-rat) is the source of this 299-nucleotide unclassified non-coding RNA. Its record names the gene 7SK. It matches the Rfam family "7SK RNA". Rfam says of the family: 7SK was discovered as an abundant small nuclear RNA in the mid-70s but a possible function has only recently been suggested. Two independent studies have found that 7SK RNA binds the CDK9/cyclin T complex (known as elongation factor P-TEFb). P-TEFb activates transcription by phosphorylating the C-terminal domain of RNA polymerase II. The record is from Ensembl. NCBI's taxonomy places the organism in Eukaryota, Metazoa, Chordata, Mammalia, Rodentia, Bathyergidae.
GGAUGUGAGAGUAAUCUGGCUGUGACAUCUGUCACCCCAUUGAUCACCAGGGUUGACCCAGCUGAUCUGGCUGGCUGGGUAGGGCCCCUUCCUCCCUCACUCUACCAUGUGUGUCCCUCCUGAAGGUGCACGCUCACUGAAAGCAGACAACCAACCUGGACAGAGGAUGACUGUUUCCUCUGUUAAGGGUACUGGAGUAGAUGCCCUAGAACCUCCAAAUAAAAUUUUGUCAGCAAAGGGGCUGGGGAUAGCUAAGUGGCCGGCCUCACUGCCUUGCAAGUACAAGGUCCUGAGUUUGA